ACACUAAUUUUACAAACACGCUUGAAAACCCAGUUUACGUUGAAAUAUUAGUGUUUUUUUUUUCCAUCGGUGAUGCAGAACCUUCAAUAACUAACACGAGAAUAGUGAAAAAUGCGCUUGAAAACCCAAAUAAUUUCCGAGUCUUGUAAAAGAAAAAAAAAAAAAAAUUCAGAACCCUCGUUAAACAAUAAUCAUUAAAAUACCCUUGAAAACCAUGAUAACUUCCACUUAGGUCUUCAGUGUAAUUUUCCAGCUUACUAUGCAGAAUUGUCAAACUAUCACUACUAUCGUGAAAAUCUGCAUAAAACUGCACUAAAAGAUAACAAAUAACAUCUCCAUCUUGUUCCGAAGCCUCGAGGCGCAGGAGUCAAGAAGUGGCGAAGUAAAUCGUUUCACUCUUUUGUCAUUACUUUGCAUUUACUGGUGUGUGGAGGACGUGAUAUGUGCUAAAAUAUCUUGUGGCUUUCUAGGGGAGUAGAUGGUGGGUAGAUGGGUAAAGUAGUAAGUAGACAGGUGUGGAGUGGUUAGUAGAUAGAAGGGUAGGUAAAUGGAAUUGUAAGAUUGCUUGUAAAUGGAGGGGUGGAAUAGAUGGGUAGAAUGAUAAGGAGCUGAGGGGAUAGAGUACGUAGAUAGGUAUUAAGUACUGUAAUAGAUAGAGGAAGGUGUAUCGAUCAAGGCAAAGAUGGACCGACCGUAACUGUGAGAAGUCUUCUCUCCUCAGUCCAGUUGUCUACAGAUUAAGUUGGCAUGUGUAGCAGCAUUUUGAACCUUGGCAUCCCAGUGUGGAGAACAUGUAAUGUGUGGCUUGGGUACACACACCACAAGACUCUUGCCCCACCAAGGCUCUAUAACUCUUCUAAUGAAGAAAGGAAAUGCAUUGUAUUUACACAAGCCUGAAUAUGUACACUUCAGCACCAUUCUUCUCUUGAGACCAGGGACUAGGAUGGGGUGUGACAACUAGUGCUCAAGGAGAGCCGUGCAGAAGCAUCAGAGGUAUCUACUGCAUGGGCCUUGCCUGAAGCUGUCUAUUAAGCUCCAUGGCCUGCUGCUCACACUAGUGAUCAUACAUUGCUGGCUGCUCAACACUGCCAGCAGUGAGCAGUAGAACUGGCAGGCCUGUCAUGCUGUGGAUGGCAAGAUCUGUGUGGCUGCUGGACUUAGAAUUCAACUAGACCUCAACUUGCUACUACCACCACCUUUCUCCUAACUAUGCUUCCUAUGAAUGCCCAGUGUGUCAGACUUUGUGGACUUGCAGUGUUGCGAAUAACAAACUUCCCAAUGUACUAAUACAGAGUUCUAGGACUCCCCACCUCAGUGAUAUUAUUGUAUUUUUAUUUUUUUAUUUAAUUAAUUAUUAUUAUUUUUUUUUUUGGUGGGGGGAGGGAGCAUGAAAGAUGUCCACCAGAGAGUCUUUGAGGUAUAAUAAAAAGGGGCAGAGA
Molecule: long non-coding RNA, 1439 nt
Organism: Scylla paramamosain (green mud crab)
Lineage: Eukaryota; Metazoa; Arthropoda; Malacostraca; Decapoda; Portunidae
Exons: 5
Source: RefSeq, a predicted model, not a curated record